RNAcentral lists this ribosomal RNA (507 nucleotides) under uncultured bacterium. RNAcentral's name for it is "partial 16S ribosomal RNA". It matches the Rfam family "Bacterial small subunit ribosomal RNA", at positions 30 to 523 of the family's 1533-position model. The record is from RNAcentral.
AUUGAACGCUGGCGGCAGGCCCAACACAUGCAAGUCGAGCGGCAGCGGAAGGAAGCUUGCUUUCUUGCCGGCGAGCGGCGGACGGGUGAGUAAGGUAUGGGGAUCUGGCCGAAGGCGGGGGAUAACCACUGGAAACGGUGGCUAAUACCGCAUAAUCUCUAAGGAGCAAAGUGGGGGACCGUUCAGGCCUCACACCUUCGGAUGAACCCAUAUGAGAUUAGCUAGUAGGUGGGGUAAUGGCUCACCUAGGCGACGAUCUCAAGCUGGUCUGAGAGGAUGAUCAGCCACACUGGGACUGAGACACGGCCCAGACUCCUACGGGAGGCAGCAGUGGGGAAUAUUGCACAAUGGGCGCAAGCCUGAUGCAGCCAUGCCGCGUGUAUGAAGAAGGCCUUCGGGUUGUAAAGUACUUUCAGUCGUGAAGAAGGUGUUAAGGUUAAUAACCUUAGCAAUUGACGUUAGCGACAGAAGAAGCACCGGCUAACUCCGUGCCAGCAGCCGCCGUAA